GACGAACGCUGGCGGCGUGCCUAAUACAUGCAAGUUGAGCGCUAACGUUUAGUACUUUUACUAUUUGGAUGAGCUGCUGACGAAUGAGUAACGCAUGCGUAAUCAGCCUUUGAUAGGGGGAGAACAUUCAGAAACGAAUGCUAGUUCCGCAUGAAAACUUUCAAAACAUGUUUUAAGUAUGAAAGAUGCAAAUGCAUCAUUUAAAUAUGCUCCCGCGUUGUAUUAGCUAGUUGGUGAGGUAACGGCUCACCAAGGCGAUGAUAAAUAGCCGACCUGAUAGGGUGAUCGGCCACAUUGGGACUGAGACACGGCCCAAACUCCUACGGGAGGCAGCAGUGGGGAAUCUUCCGCAAUGGACGAAAGGCUGACGGAGCAACGCCGCGUGAGUGAAGAAGGUCUUCGGGUUGUAAAACUCUGUUGUUCGGGAAGAACGUUCGUGAGGGUAGAACGCUCAUGAAGUGACGGUACCGAAAGAGAAAGGGACGGCUAACUACGUG
RNAcentral lists this ribosomal RNA (497 nucleotides) under uncultured bacterium. RNAcentral's name for it is "partial 16S ribosomal RNA". It matches the Rfam family "Bacterial small subunit ribosomal RNA", at positions 28 to 507 of the family's 1533-position model. The record is from RNAcentral.